AGGACGAACGCUGGCGGCGUGCUUAACACAUGCAAGUCGAACGGUAAGGCCCCUUCGGGGGGUACACGAGUGGCGAACGGGUGAGUAACACGUGAGCAACCUGCCCUUGACUUCGGAAUACCAGUUGGAAACAGCUGCUAAUACCGGAUAUGACCUCUUCCUUCCUGGGUUGAGGUGGAAAGCUCCGGCGGUCAAGGAUGGGCUCGCGGCCUAUCAGCUUGUUGGUGAGGUAAUGGCUCACCAAGGCUUCGACGGGUA
RNAcentral lists this ribosomal RNA (258 nucleotides) under uncultured bacterium. RNAcentral's name for it is "partial small subunit ribosomal RNA". It matches the Rfam family "Bacterial small subunit ribosomal RNA", at positions 26 to 285 of the family's 1533-position model. The record is from RNAcentral.